GGUUAUCGAUGGGGAUGCGUUCCAUUAGGCAGUUGGUGAGGUAACGGCUCACCAAACCUUCGAUGGAUAGGGGUUCUGAGAGGAAGGUCCCCCACAUUGGAACUGAGACACGGUCCAAACUCCUACGGGAGGCAGCAGUGAGGAAUAUUGGUCAAUGGGCGCAGGCCUGAACCAGCCAAGUAGCGUGAAGGAUGACUGCCCUAUGGGUUGUAAACUUCUUUUAUAUGGGAAUAAAGUUUUCCACGUGUGGAAUUUUGUAUGUACCAUAUGAAUAAGGAUCGGCUAACUCCGUGCCAGCAGCCGCGGUAAUACGGAGGAUCCGAGCGUUAUCCGGAUUUAUUGGGUUUAAAGGGAGCGUAGGUGGACAGUUAAGUCAGUUGUGAAAGUUUGCGGCUCAACCGUAAAAUUGCAGUUGAUACUGGCUGUCUUGAGUACAGUAGAGGUGGGCGGAAUUCGUGGUGUAGCGGUGAAAUGCUUAGAUAUCACGAAGAACUCCGAUUGCGAAGGCAGCUCACUGGACUGCAACUGACACUGAUGCUCGAAAGUGUGGGUAUCAAACAGGAUUAGAUACCCUGGUAGUCCACACAGUAAACGAUGAAUACUCGCUGUUUGCGAUAUACAGUAAGCGGCC
This 631-nucleotide ribosomal RNA is filed under the name uncultured bacterium. RNAcentral describes it as "bacterial SSU rRNA". It matches the Rfam family "Bacterial small subunit ribosomal RNA", at positions 217 to 848 of the family's 1533-position model. The record is from RNAcentral.